AAUUGGCUUACUUAGGAUGAACAUGGAUCAACAAUGGGGCAGGGAAUAGAAGAUACAAAUGGCCCAGGAAGUUACUAUGCUGACAUACACUUUCUUCCAUUCCAAAAACGCUGAUCAAUAAUGCAGAUGUAUGAGGAGAAAUGCCCUAUCUAUGAGGAUUGCUAUGCUAUGAAAUUGGUCUUCGGAGGAUUGAAAAGAACAGGAUUUGAACCCAGGCUGCAAAUCAGGAUCACAGGACGAGGUUUUUAAAAGUCUCUAUGCUGGACACCACCCCCCGAGAUUCUCAUUUAAUUGUUCUGAAGAAAGGCCUGGCAUCAGUAGUUUUUCAAAACCUUCAUCCAGAUGAUUAUAACAUGCAGUCACGGCUGAGAACCCUUGGUACAAAAUCAAUUUUAACCCCACCGCCAUGUCAUUAAAACAAGUUUUGACGGACAAUGAAGGGACCCAGGGCAGGCUUCUCUCCUUCACCUGAACACUACGUGGCACCUGAGCCUUGGUACAAGGAGAGGCCUUUUGUGCAUGUCCUCCUCCUUGGAGAGUCCAGACGAAUUUGGGAGAAAAGGAAGAGAACUUCUCGUAAAUCCAGUGAUCCUUCACACAUCCGAAACAAACAACCGCUAGCCUAGUAUGCUGAAAGCUGUGACCACAGAUUUUCCCCUGACUGUUUGCCCCCAUCCCGAUCACACACAGAUCUACCUGUGUCAGCAUGGCUCGUUCUCUUCCCUUUCCCCCUCUCCAAGUUCGCUCUAUGUGAAUACAGGUUUGGAAAAGAAUAAAAGCAGAACACUCAGCCUGC
Long non-coding RNA from Aethalodelphis obliquidens (Pacific white-sided dolphin), 796 nucleotides. RefSeq lists it as uncharacterized. NCBI's taxonomy places the organism in Eukaryota, Metazoa, Chordata, Mammalia, Artiodactyla, Delphinidae. The transcript has 3 exons. The record is from RefSeq and is a predicted model, not a curated record.